RNAcentral lists this ribosomal RNA (588 nucleotides) under Escherichia coli. RNAcentral describes it as "partial 23S ribosomal RNA". It matches the Rfam family "Bacterial large subunit ribosomal RNA", at positions 2348 to 2925 of the family's 2925-position model. The record is from RNAcentral. Lineage: Bacteria; Pseudomonadati; Pseudomonadota; Gammaproteobacteria; Enterobacterales; Enterobacteriaceae.
AGUGCAAUGGCAUAAGCCAGCUUGACUGCGAGCGUGACGGCGCGAGCAGGUGCGAAAGCAGGUCAUAGUGAUCCGGUGGUUCUGAAUGGAAGGGCCAUCGCUCAACGGAUAAAAGGUACUCCGGGGAUAACAGGCUGAUACCGCCCAAGAGUUCAUAUCGACGGCGGUGUUUGGCACCUCGAUGUCGGCUCAUCACAUCCUGGGGCUGAAGUAGGUCCCAAGGGUAUGGCUGUUCGCCAUUUAAAGUGGUACGCGAGCUGGGUUUAGAACGUCGUGAGACAGUUCGGUCCCUAUCUGCCGUGGGCGCUGGAGAACUGAGGGGGGCUGCUCCUAGUACGAGAGGACCGGAGUGGACGCAUCACUGGUGUUCGGGUUGUCAUGCCAAUGGCACUGCCCGGUAGCUAAAUGCGGAAGAGAUAAGUGCUGAAAGCAUCUAAGCACGAAACUUGCCCCGAGAUGAGUUCUCCCUGAGACUUAGAGUCUCCUGAAGGAACGUUGAAGACGACGACGUUGAUAGGCCGGGUGUGUAAGCGCAGCGAUGCGUUGAGCUAACCGGUACUAAUGAACCGUGAGGCUUAACCUUACAAC